CUUGAGUUAUGACCAGUGUCACAUAUGAACAACUUGGGUUACGACCAGAAUUUUAGUUUUAACUUCUGACCAAAGUGAUUGAGUCAAAUGCUGGUCUUUCCUGUAUGGUGUUAAUUGAGAAAUCCUCAAUGUCCAUCUAAGGACACUCAGAUGUGCCUGGAAGAAAGUGUGGCCUAAAAUUAUAUAGGAGAGAGACUUUGAAGGCUGCGUAGAGGGGCCUGAGCCAUCAGCUGACCCUGUGGUUGAUGACAAUGUCACUAUCCAUAGGCUUGCAGGUAGGCAGUAGUGAUGUUGAGGAACUUGUGGAGGGACCCUCAGAAUUGUCUACAGAGGAACCUCAGCAGUUUCUGGCUGAGCAACAGAGAAUGGCAGCUGAAGAGCUUUCUGAAGAGGAAGAGGAAUAUCAACAAUCAGUGAAGCAAAGUUCUUCUGAAAUAAAGGAAAUCCUAAAAAAAUGGACAGAGGUAUGAACAUUUGUAGGGAAUGUUCUGUGCAAUCUUCCCAGUCUUUGUAGAGAAAAAGCCAGUCAUUGCAUUUACUUACCUAAUGACAAUGUCAUGUCAUACUACAGAACUGUGUUAAAGAAAAGACAGAAACUGACAGCCUUAGACCAGUUUUCAGUUCUGAAAAGACUGAGACCUAGUGAGCCAGAAGCAGGUCCUAGUGGGCUACAGACUCUCCCAAGGAGAGAAAGGAUACCAGAGAGCCGGAUUCCUGAUGUUCUUUUGGAAGGGGACGCUCCUUCCAUACAAUAACUACCUUCCAUUUCAUCCUCCCUUCCUGCAAGCCAAAGAUGUAAAGUUGAAUGGCUCCACAGGUGCCAGCUUGGUGACUUGAGAUCAGUCAUCUUUGCCCCACCGUUCUUGUCUGUCAGAGGGAGAUCAUGAUGCCAUCAAUCUCAGGACUGGGAAGAAGCAUGAAUGACAUAGUGCAAGAAAACAUUUAGAAGAGUGUUAACAAGUCCUCAAUAGACACAAGUGGAGACAUUGUCAUCUCACAGCUUGUAUCAAACAUCAAGAAAAAGGAAAUAUGACAUUUCUAGAAUGCUGGUACCAACAGAGGUCAGAGCAGCCUCUAACACAGGCUCUGUACUUUUCUUCAAAUGAAGAUUCUGUGCAUGAGCAAGGGGUUGGUGAGGAGAGAUACGAAGCCAGGAAACUGUUCAGGGACUUUUCCUCCAGCUUCAGGAUACAUUGUGUAGCCAGGAGGAUGCUGGGACCUACUAUGUACCUACUGGGAUGCACUGUAUCAACAGGCUGUGCUCUCCCCAAACAGAAACCCUUCCAAGUGGGUGUCCCCUGUGCAAACAACCCACCUCCUCCUGGCCACCUUGCAGAGGGACCUGACUGAGCCCACAGGGUGCUUUUCUCCUGAAAAAAUGUCAUAAGCAAAGUCACAGCUGAACCCUAAGGGUCCAGUCUGUGAGGCUUCCUUCAGUAGGAGUGUUGUCCUCUCUCCAACCCUAUCCUGGGCUGUCUUUUGUAAAUUCCCCCAGUGAUCUCUGCCUCUCAGCUACAGGAAGCCUCCUGGGAAGGAAGCCAUGAUGCACUGCUUAAGAUGGUUUAUUGACAUGGAAUGAAUGAAUGAAUGAAUGAAUGAAUAUAAGAUCUUAGAUGAAAUCAAGCUAGGUUUCACAUUGCUGUGGGGCCACUGACAGAUAAUGUGACCUAUCAAACUUUUAGUUUUUCAUCCUGUUCUUCCAGUUUUAGGUGGGCACCACAGUGUUAACAUGCACUAGGUAUUCAUCCUCGUGAGAGCCUUGCAAAGCUACUCAAAGUUCUUAAAAAAUAGGGCCAAAAAUAUAAACUCCCUUUUUCAGGGAGUGAAAGAGAGGUCAAGAAGAGAUGUCUGUGAAACAGC
RNAcentral lists this long non-coding RNA (1860 nucleotides) under Heterocephalus glaber (naked mole-rat). Its description in RNAcentral is "lncRNA (ENSHGLG00000041242.1)". Lineage: Eukaryota; Metazoa; Chordata; Mammalia; Rodentia; Bathyergidae. The record is from RNAcentral.